Molecule: ribosomal RNA, 439 nt
Filed under: uncultured bacterium
Lineage: Bacteria
Description: bacterial SSU rRNA
Rfam family: Bacterial small subunit ribosomal RNA
Source: RNAcentral
UUACGGGAGGCAGCAGUAGGGAAUAUUGCACAAUGGGCGAAAGCCUGAUGCAGCAACGCCGCGUGUGCGAUGAAGGCCUUCGGGUCGUAAAGCACUUUUCUGAGAGAUGAGAAAGGACAGUAUCUCAGGAAUAAGUCUCGGCUAACUACGUGCCAGCAGCCGCGGUAACACGUAGGAGGCGAGCGUUAUCCGGAUUCACUGGGCGUAAAGCGCGUGCAGGCGGUUUGGUAAGUUGAUCGUGAAAGCUCCCGGCUCAACUGGGAGAGGUCGGUCAAUACUACCAAACUAGAGAGUAGAAGAGGAAGAUGGAAUUCCCGGUGUAGUGGUGAAAUGCGUAGAUAUCGGGAGGAACACCAGUGGCGAAGGCGAUCUUCUGGUCUAUUUCUGACGCUCAGACGCGACAGCUAGGGUAGUAAACGGGAUUAGAUACCCUGGUAGC